RNAcentral lists this ribosomal RNA (433 nucleotides) under uncultured bacterium. Its description in RNAcentral is "partial 16S ribosomal RNA". It matches the Rfam family "Bacterial small subunit ribosomal RNA", at positions 29 to 507 of the family's 1533-position model. The record is from RNAcentral.
AACGAACGCUGGCGGCAUGCCUAACACAUGCAAGUCGAACGAGACCUUCGGGUCUAGUGGCGCACGGGUGCGUAACGCGUGGGAAUCUGCCCUUGGGUUCGGAAUAACAGUUGGAAACGACUGCUAAUACCGGAUGGUGACGUAAGUCCAAAGAUUUAUCGCCCAAGGAUGGGCCCGCGUAGGAUUAGCUAGUUGGUGAGGUAAAGGCUCACCAAGGCGACGAUCCUUAGCUGGUCUGAUAGGAUGAUCAGCCACACUGGGACUGAGACACGGCCCAGACUCCUACGGGAGGGAGCAGUGGGGAAUAGUGUACAAUGGGGGAAAGCCUGAUCCAGCAAUGCCGCGUGAGUGAUGAAGGCCUUAGGGUUGUAAAGCUCUUUUACCCGGGAUGAUAAUGACAGUACCGGGUGAAGAAGCGCCGGCUAACUCCGUG